CCUACGGGAGGCAGCAGUCAAGAAUCAUUCACAAUGGGGGAAACCCUGAUGGUGCGACGCCGCGUGGGGGAAUGAAGGUCUUCGGAUUGUAAACCCCUGUCAUGUGGGAGCAAAUUAAAAAGAUAGUACCACAAGAGGAAGAGACGGCUAACUCUGUGCCAGCAGCCGCGGUAAUACAGAGGUCUCAAGCGUUGUUCGGAAUCACUGGGCGUAAAGCGUGCGUAGGCUGUUUCGUAAGUCGUGUGUGAAAGGCGCGGGCUCAACCCGCGGACGGCACAUGAUACUGCGAGACGAGAGUAAGGGAGGGGGAACCGGAAUUCUCGGUGUAGCAGUGAAAUGCGUAGAUAUCGAGAGGAACACUCGUGGCGAAGGCGGGUUCCUGGACAUUAACUGACGCUGAGGCACGAAGGCCAGGGGAGCGAAAGGGAUUAGAUACCCUUGUAGUC
Molecule: ribosomal RNA, 446 nt
Filed under: uncultured bacterium
Lineage: Bacteria
Description: partial 16S ribosomal RNA
Rfam family: Bacterial small subunit ribosomal RNA
Source: RNAcentral